This 305-nucleotide ribosomal RNA is filed under the name uncultured bacterium. RNAcentral describes it as "bacterial SSU rRNA". It matches the Rfam family "Bacterial small subunit ribosomal RNA", at positions 337 to 640 of the family's 1533-position model. The record is from RNAcentral.
CCCUACGGGCGCAGCAGUGAGGAAUAUUGGUCAAUGGGCUUACGCCUGAACCAGCCAAGUCGCGUGAGGGAAGACUGCCCUAUGGGUUGUAAACCUCUUUUGUCAGGGAGCAAUUGGCGCUACGUGUAGCGUUAUCGAGAGUACCUGAAGAAAAAGCAUCGGCUAACUCCGUGCCAGCAGCCGCGGUAAUACGGAGGAUGCGAGCGUUAUCCGGAUUUAUUGGGUUUAAAGGGUGCGUAGGCGGAAUGCCAAGUCAGCGGUAAAAUCGCGGGGCUCAACCUAGCUCCGCCGUUGAAACUGGCGUU